AGAGAGACGAGCAUUCCAUUUACUGCAAUCGCAUUUUUGCCGUCGCAAGAGGGUGCAAACGGGUCGGCUGAAAGGAGCAAGAAAAAGGAUGGAAAAGUGGUUCCCAUUUCUUAAUUAAAUUCGCAAGUAAAAAUUCUAAAAAAGGAGAAGGAGUAAGAAGAGAACAAUGAG
This is a long non-coding RNA of Vespa velutina, 171 nucleotides long. RefSeq lists it as uncharacterized. The transcript has 2 exons. The record is from RefSeq and is a predicted model, not a curated record. NCBI's taxonomy places the organism in Eukaryota, Metazoa, Arthropoda, Insecta, Hymenoptera, Vespidae.